GAUCCUGGCUCAGGAUGAACGCUAGCUACAGGCUUAACACAUGCAAGUCGAGGGGCAGCAUGGUCUUAGCUUGCUAAGGCCGAUGGCGACCGGCGCACGGGUGAGUAACACGUAUCCAACCUGCCGUCUACUCUUGGACAGCCUUCUGAAAGGAAGAUUAAUACAAGUUGGCAUCAUGAGUCCGCAUGUUCACAUGAUUAAAGGUAUUCCGGUAGACGAUGGGGGAUGGCG
Molecule: ribosomal RNA, 231 nt
Filed under: uncultured bacterium
Lineage: Bacteria
Description: partial 16S ribosomal RNA
Rfam family: Bacterial small subunit ribosomal RNA
Source: RNAcentral